GCGGCAAACGGGUGAGUAAUAUCUGGGAAUCUACCCAAAAGAGGGGGAUAACUACUAGAAAUGGUAGCUAAUACCGCAUAAAGUUGAAAAACCAAAGUGGGGGACCUUAAAAGGCCUCAUGCUUUUGGAUGAGCCCAGAAGAGAUUAGCUUGUUGGUAAGGUAAAAGCUUACCAAGGCCACGAUCUCUAGCUGGUCUGAGAGGAUAACCAGCCACACUGGAACUGAGACACGGUCCAGACUCCUACGGGAGGCAGCAGUGGGGAAUAUUGCACAAUGGGCGAAAGCCUGAUGCAGCUAUGCCGCGUGUAUGAAGAAGGCCUUAGGGUUGUAAAGUACUUUCAGCGGGGAGGAAAAAAAUACAACUAAUA
RNAcentral lists this ribosomal RNA (369 nucleotides) under Aphis gossypii (cotton aphid). RNAcentral describes it as "bacterial SSU rRNA". It matches the Rfam family "Bacterial small subunit ribosomal RNA", at positions 95 to 465 of the family's 1533-position model. Lineage: Eukaryota; Metazoa; Arthropoda; Insecta; Hemiptera; Aphididae. The record is from RNAcentral.